This 140-nucleotide microRNA precursor is filed under the name Manihot esculenta (cassava). RNAcentral describes it as "miR477g stem-loop (mes-MIR477g)". Its record names the gene mes-MIR477g. The stretch from base 28 to 108 matches the Rfam family "MIR477 microRNA precursor family". The record is from miRBase by way of RNAcentral. Lineage: Eukaryota; Viridiplantae; Streptophyta; Magnoliopsida; Malpighiales; Euphorbiaceae.
GACACUGACAUUGCUAGAAUGGUUAGAGAAGCUUCCAAUCUCCCUCAAAGGCUUCCAAUAUUCCAGGCCAUGGAAAUGUUGGAGACCUUUGGAGGGGAUUGAAGGCUUACUCUCCCAUCAUUUAAUGCAAGCAUAGUUUC